Molecule: long non-coding RNA, 1640 nt
Organism: Megalobrama amblycephala (Wuchang bream)
Lineage: Eukaryota; Metazoa; Chordata; Actinopteri; Cypriniformes; Xenocyprididae
Exons: 3
Source: RefSeq, a predicted model, not a curated record
AAUCGUUGGUUGUCAAUAUCAUGUCUCUGCUUAAAAUUCGCAAACAUUAAUUUAUUGCACAUUUAUUGGAAAGUCUGAAUUUAUCAGAAGACCGAAUGUGCGCAUAUAAAACCAACUUUACCGAAGUUUGUUCAUGGAGGUAUGGACGUUUCUUUUGUAUUCUGAAUUUAAAAUGUUGUUUUUGCAAUGCAGUAAGUAGUAAUUUUGACUUUAGAAGAACGAAACUUGUUUCUUUUAUGCAAUUUUUAUGGUUAAAUAUUUAAGUUUUUCUGUUUUGAUUUUGCAAUGCAGUAAAUUGACAAGCAGAAUCAACCCAGGACAGUGGAAGCUGAUCAAAAACAAGAAACAGUUGACCGGCUGUGUGGGAUCUUCAUGUUAAUGGAGCCGUGGAUCACAUGAUCUCUGCGCUGCACAACAACCAAACGUCUUCAAGGGUUUAGUGGAAGAGCUGUGCUUUCUGAUAUUGAAAGAGGAAGACCAGGAACAAGCCCUUCUUCAACUUUCACAGGCUGAAACGGAUGAUGACACACAACUGGCCAAAGAGCCUUUAGUGUUUUGCUUACAAAUUAAGGAUGAUAUGGACAUUUUUCUUAAUGAGUGUGUGGACAAAAACAGUCUUGUAAUUAAUCGCAAAUUAAGUCUCACUUACAGCGGCUUUGUUGCUAAGAACUUAUUUAUUUAACCGAGUGCAACAGACACAGUCUCAAACCCCAUGUCUCUGGCUACUGGCUUCAAGUCCCGCCCCCUCUUACUCUCUGAUAGGUUGUCAAUCACCAUAUGUAAUUAUCUAAUCUCGAUGACACCUCCCCCUUUAACUUUUCCUAAAGAAACACGUUAUUGUAACCGUAAUUUUUUAUUUACUAACUAGCACUUGCCCCUAUUCAUUUUAACUAUAAUGAACAUUUUAAACAUUUAACAGUUUUCUUUUUAUCAAAUAAACAUUUAACAUCGCAUUCAUUUAAGAUGCAUAACUCACAUCCACUACACCUAAUCUGUUUAUCACCUGCGCUGUCAUAUUUAGUCUAUUUUCAUUCUUUCUCUUAAUAUGUCUAAUGUAACAAGUUUUAUCCUUUAUCUUUAUUUUUAUUAAAUUUCUUAAGUUUAUAUUUACAUUUCCAAAAUGUUUGAUUUGUUUCGAGUUAAUUUUAUAUAGCUUAUAUUUUAUUUAAGUUUUAAUUUUCAGUACAUUUAUCCUAUUGUAAGUCAUUACGCCACUUUUAAUUAUUUUCUAAAACACUCAUUGCACUUCCUAAGACAACCCUGUUUUCUUUUUACUAAAUAGCUUCACAAAACAAUAAUGCUUUCUCGCUUAUUUUCAGUCUUAUAUCACUUUAUAAUGACCCUUUUGAUUAGUUCUAUUUUUUAUUGUACUUUUUUUGUACAAACAACUCUGACAUAUUACAUACAUUUAUUGAUAUACCUUUUAAUCGAAAAAAAUACAUAUUUCAUUCUUAUUGUCACUAAUCUGAUAAAAUGUUCAUCUAAUAGUUUUAUUUUUGUACUUUUAUUUCUUUAUCAUUUUUUUCUAAGCAGCUAUUAUUUAUUAUUUAUAUAUAUUUUUUUCUAAAAGUUUCAUUUCUGAAUUAGUAAUUAGUUUCUAUACAGUUAUUAAAUGAUCUAGAUCUAGUUUCAUUUUCUCA